GCUGGGUGUGGUGGUGUGUGCCUGUAGUCCCAGCUGCUCGGGAGGCUGAGGCAGGAGGAUCACUUGAGCCCAGGAGGUAGGGUUUGCAGUGAGCUGAGAUUGUGCCACUGCACUCCAGCCUGGGCCACAGAGCGAGACCCUGUCUCCA
Molecule: non-coding RNA, 148 nt
Organism: Pan troglodytes (chimpanzee)
Lineage: Eukaryota; Metazoa; Chordata; Mammalia; Primates; Hominidae
Rfam family: Metazoan signal recognition particle RNA
About the family: The signal recognition particle (SRP) is a universally conserved ribonucleoprotein.
Source: Rfam